GUAAGGAAUAUUGGACAAUGGACGCAAGUCUGAUCCAGCCAUGCCGCGUGAAGGAUUAAGGUCCUCUGGAUUGUAAACUUCUUUUAUAAGGGACGAAAAAAGGCUUUUCUAAGUCGUCUGACGGUACCUUAUGAAUAAGCACCGGCUAACUCCGUGCCAGCAGCCGCGGUAAUACGGAGGGUGCAAGCGUUAUCCGGAUUCACUGGGUUUAAAGGGUGCGUAGGCGGGCAGGUAAGUCAGUGGUGAAAUCCUAGAGCUUAACUCUAGAACUGCCAUUGAUACUAUCUGUCUUGAAUAUUGUGGAGGUAAGCGGAAUAUGUCAUGUAGCGGUGAAAUGCUUAGAUAUGACAUAGAACACCAAUUGCGAAGGCAGCUUACUACGCAUAUAUUGACGCUGAGGCACGAAAGCGUGGGGAUCAAACAGGAUUAGAAACCCGGGUAGUCC
RNAcentral lists this ribosomal RNA (445 nucleotides) under uncultured bacterium. Its description in RNAcentral is "bacterial SSU rRNA". It matches the Rfam family "Bacterial small subunit ribosomal RNA", at positions 354 to 796 of the family's 1533-position model. The record is from RNAcentral.